UACGGAAGGGGCUAGCGUUGUUCGGAAUUACUGGGCGUAAAGCGCACGUAGGUGGCGACGUAAGUCGGGUGUGAAAGCCCCGGGCUCAACCUGGGAAUUGCAUUCGAGACUGCAUUGCUGGAGUACGGAAGAGGAGGGCGGAAUUCCCGGUGUAGCGGUGAAAUGCGUAGAUAUCGGGAGGAACAUCAGUGGCGAAGGCGGCCCUCGGGUCCAGUAAUGACACUCAAGUGCGAAAGCGUGGGGAGCAAACAGG
RNAcentral lists this ribosomal RNA (253 nucleotides) under uncultured bacterium. Its description in RNAcentral is "partial 16S ribosomal RNA". It matches the Rfam family "Bacterial small subunit ribosomal RNA", at positions 524 to 776 of the family's 1533-position model. The record is from RNAcentral.